AUUGAACGCUGGCGGCAUGCCUUACACAUGCAAGUCGAACGCGAAAGCGGGGGCAACCCUGCAAGUAGAGUGGCGAACGGGUGAGUAACACAUCGGAACGUACCCAGGAGUGGGGGACAACCUCGGGAAAUCGAGGCUAAUACCGCAUACGUCCUGAGGGAGAAAGCGGGGGGUCGCAAGACCUCGCGCGCAUGGAGCGGCCGAUGUCCGAUUAGCUAGUUGGCGGGGUAAGAGCCCACCAAGGCGACGAUCGGUAGCUGGUUUGAGAGAACGACCAGCCACACUGGGACUGGGACACGGCCCAGACUCCUACGGGAGGCAGCAGUGGGGAAUUUUGGACAAUGGGGGCAACCCUGAUCCAGCCAUGCCGCGUGAGUGAAGAAGGCCUUCGGGUUGUAAAGCUCUUUCGGCCGGAACGAAAUCGGGUACGUGAAUAACGGAUCUGGAUGACGGUACUGGAAGAAGAAGCACCGGCUAACUACGUGCCAGCAGCCGCGGUAA
Molecule: ribosomal RNA, 501 nt
Filed under: uncultured bacterium
Lineage: Bacteria
Description: partial 16S ribosomal RNA
Rfam family: Bacterial small subunit ribosomal RNA
Source: RNAcentral